GCCGCCUUAGCUCAGCGGUAGAGCAGCGCUUUUGUAAAGCGCAGGUCGCGGGUUCGAAUCCGGCAGGCGGCU
This 72-nucleotide transfer RNA is filed under the name Phycisphaerae bacterium. RNAcentral describes it as "tRNA-Thr". It matches the Rfam family "tRNA". Rfam says of the family: Transfer RNA (tRNA) molecules are approximately 80 nucleotides in length. Their secondary structure includes four short double-helical elements and three loops (D, anti-codon, and T loops). Lineage: Bacteria; Pseudomonadati; Planctomycetota; Phycisphaerae. The record is from RNAcentral.